CGGGGCGAGGGCGGAGCCUGGGGGCCGAGCGGCCCGCGCCGGCUGGCCUGACCUCCCCGAACGCUGGGCCCGUGACGUCACCCCGCCGUGACGCGCACGCUGUAGGAAAACUAAUUAAUUAAAAGGAUUUAUGGUAUAUCUUAUGACUCUACAGGAGCCUUGGGAUAUAGAGACGGGGCCUUGCUAUAUUGCCCAUGCUGGUCUUGAACUUCUGGCCUCAAGCAAUCCUUCUGGCCUAGCCUCCCAAAUUACAGGAGGAUUAGAAGAAGGAAUCAUAUGUGGCUCAUGUGUCUAUGUUCUGACCUUGUAUUAGAUAGAAAUGAAUGCCAUUUCCCAUCCAGUACUGAAGUGUUAAAGUUAGAAGACAUUUGCUAAGUCAAAUCACUUCAGGUGUGUUGAAGAAAGUACACACGUCUUAUCUUCUGAACAUUUUGAUGGGAUUAACCACAAACCUCAUGCAAGAACAGUAAAAGGUA
Piliocolobus tephrosceles (Ugandan red Colobus) is the source of this 476-nucleotide long non-coding RNA. RefSeq lists it as uncharacterized. Lineage: Eukaryota; Metazoa; Chordata; Mammalia; Primates; Cercopithecidae. The transcript is spliced from 6 exons. The record is from RefSeq and is a predicted model, not a curated record.